This 128-nucleotide ribosomal RNA is filed under the name Penstemon cobaea. Its description in RNAcentral is "partial 5.8S ribosomal RNA". It matches the Rfam family "5.8S ribosomal RNA", at positions 30 to 154 of the family's 154-position model. Rfam says of the family: 5.8S ribosomal RNA (5.8S rRNA) is a component of the large subunit of the eukaryotic ribosome. It is transcribed by RNA polymerase I as part of the 45S precursor that also contains 18S and 28S rRNA. Functionally, it is thought that 5.8S rRNA may be involved in ribosome translocation. The record is from RNAcentral. Lineage: Eukaryota; Viridiplantae; Streptophyta; Magnoliopsida; Lamiales; Plantaginaceae.
GCAUUGUUUAAGAACGCAGCGAAAUGCGAUACUUGGUGUGAAUUGCAGAAUCCCGUGAACCAUCGAGUCUUUGAACGCAAGUUGCGCCCGAAGCCAUUAGGCCGAGGGCACGUCUGCCUGGGCGUCAC